UUAAACGUGGUUCGAAAACCUCCCACGAAAAAAAACUAAGGAGAG
The sequence is a regulatory RNA element, 45 nucleotides long. It matches the Rfam family "PreQ1 (pre queuosine) riboswitch aptamer". Rfam says of the family: This family is a bacterial riboswitch that binds to the metabolite preQ1, an intermediate in the biosynthesis of the modified nucleoside queuosine from GTP. One example of this riboswitch is located in the leader of the Bacillus subtilis ykvJKLM (queCDEF) operon which encodes four genes necessary for queuosine production. PreQ1 binding to the riboswitch aptamer is thought to induce premature transcription termination within the leader to down-regulate expression of these genes. The record is from Rfam.